Molecule: long non-coding RNA, 433 nt
Organism: Polypterus senegalus (gray bichir)
Lineage: Eukaryota; Metazoa; Chordata; Cladistia; Polypteriformes; Polypteridae
Exons: 3
Source: RefSeq, a predicted model, not a curated record
CAGACAGGAGAUUGCCUCACUUAAAGGUCGAAGCCCUUUCCAGUUUGGAGGUGGCCAUCUCAAAGAGCUUCCCAGCACAGUUGUUAUUGAGCUGACAUGAUAGAGAAAGGAACAGAUGAGGCAGUCUGAACCCUUUCUUCAACACUGCUAUUCAGAAAACUGAAGGUUACACCAGAAGAACACUGGGAGGAAGAUGAUGAGUGCCAGGCACACGUUUCCUCUCAAGAGCCUAUUGAAUGGAAACACCCAGCACACCAUUCAUUCACCCCAAAGCAGACAACACACAGUCACAUAAAACAAUUGGAAGACUGACAGCCACACCACCACUGAUGUCACUUCCAUUUUUCACACUCCUGAACCUGCCAUAUUGCGGCGGGUUGGCGCCCUGCCCGGGAUUGGUUCCUGCCUUGCGCCCUGUGUCGGCUGGGAUUGG